Molecule: long non-coding RNA, 910 nt
Organism: Suricata suricatta (meerkat)
Lineage: Eukaryota; Metazoa; Chordata; Mammalia; Carnivora; Herpestidae
Exons: 2
Source: RefSeq, a predicted model, not a curated record
AUCUUCUGCAGGUACUUUAUACCAACUCAGUGUUUGUCUUUCAUAGAGGGACUGCAUCGGCACACCGAAAGAAGAAUUUGUCCACAGGCGUGGGGAAACUGCUAGAAGUGUGCCAGGCCAAUACAACUCAGACUUUUCACGGCCACCGGUGAUGAGUGGAGGGAAGGCACCUUUUACUCCUGGUCUAACAUCAGACAUGCUUAGGAAUGUAUUUAAGAAACAGACACAUGUACUUGUGCCAUGACUUGUUUUUUGAGGGUGAUGGCAAGAGGCUGACUGUAGAAACAAAUGAACCAAUGUGUGGGCUGCAGUCUGUGGUGUGCUACACUUACGAUAGAAAUGUAGUCAUCUGAAAGUUUAAUCCAAAAUUAACAUAUGACUUCAACGUGUCAGUUUCAACAGAUACUCUCGAUGCAGGGCUCCUUGUUCUUUUAAAAAUUCUGUCCAUUUAUGAGGGGAAAAAACAAUAAAUAACAGACAUAAAUAUUGCAACAUUUUCCCUCCCAAGCCAAUUUAAGGGUGGAAUUAAAUGUGCACCACACACUUGACAAUUCCUCUGCCCUAAGGGGGUGGGGGCCACACCCUCGGGUCUUCCGCAGGCCAAGUCAGCUGCGCUCCCUCCUAGGUGACCUCCCUUCAGCCCCGCAGACUCUGAUCAUGAGGCAACCCAGUGAUGCCGAAAAUAAGUCCUAAUGCUUCGGUUAGAAGUCGUCCUUAGGAGGAGAGUUAGUAAAGGAAAGAGACCAAAAUGCAGAGUCUUUAACGCUUUCGUUAUUCGUUCUUAAACAUACAUCGUACCAAUUUUGGCCUGCUCUUCUCUUUUACGUAUACAUGCACGUGCAUACCCAUAAAAUUAUUUGCCCCAACAAAAACCAGAGGAAACGUUAAAAAGAUUUCUGAAGGAAGAAGU